GCGGGACAGGGAGGGCGCGGGGCCGGGCUGCUGGGUCCGAGCUCUGGGCACGAUGUCCUCCCUGACGCCGCCAGGACAGCGCCUGGCCCAGGCCUGGGCCUGGUGAACGCGGGUUUCUUCCUCUGAGGAGAGAGGCUCCUUACACUGACAUUCAAAGUCCUCAAUGACCCGGCCCCAGCCUACCUCUGCAGCCUUAUCUCCCUACAAACCAUCAAAGCAGAACAAAAACCUGUCCCUCCGAUUUAGGUUUUAGCAAACCACAAGAAGCACUUCAUAAACUGGUGACUCAAGUAGAAAAGUACUGUUCCACGCACUUGACACCAAUCCACCCAUUUCACCUGCAUGAUCACCCUGCCUUUGCAUGAGUUGCCGGUGUGGACAGAGCAGGGACACAGUGAGACAGCGGAUUCCAGCUUUGCUCUUACCUAGAACACACUGCCUCUCACCAGGAAUCGUCCUUCCAUUUUAUGCAGUUAUCCCAGACAAUGAUGCACAAGCUUUGGGAAAAAAACCCCACAAGUCCAAAGGUGUACUUCAUAAUAAAGGCAAGUUAUCUGUCA
RNAcentral lists this long non-coding RNA (560 nucleotides) under Homo sapiens (human). RNAcentral describes it as "HSALNT0314402". Lineage: Eukaryota; Metazoa; Chordata; Mammalia; Primates; Hominidae. The record is from RNAcentral.